CCUACGGGGGGCAGCAGUGGGGAAUAUUGCACAAUGGGGGAAACCCUGAUGCAGCGACGCCGCGUGAGUGAAGAAGUAAUUCGUUAUGUAAAGCUCUAUCAGCAGGGAAGAAAAUGACGGUACCUGAGUAAGAAGCCCCGGCUAACUCCGUGCCAGCAGCCGCGGUAAUACGGAGGGGGCAAGCGUUAUCCGGAUUUACUGGGUGGAAAGGGAGCGUAGACGGCGGGGCAAGUCUGGAGUGAAAGGCGGGGGCUCAACCCCCGGACUGCUCUGGAAACUGUACGGCUGGAGUGCAGGAGAGGGGAGUAGAAUUCCAGGUGUAGCGGUGAAAUGCGUAGAUAUUAGGAGGAACACCAGUGGCGAAGGCGGCUUACUGGACUGUAACUGACGUUGAGGCUCGAAAGCGUGGGGAGCAAACAGGAUUAGAUACCCGGGUAGUC
This 440-nucleotide ribosomal RNA is filed under the name uncultured bacterium. RNAcentral's name for it is "partial 16S ribosomal RNA". It matches the Rfam family "Bacterial small subunit ribosomal RNA", at positions 338 to 795 of the family's 1533-position model. The record is from RNAcentral.